CGGGACACGUGGUAUCCUGUCUGAAUAUGGGGGGACCAUCCUCCAAGGCUAAAUACUCCUGACUGACCGAUAGUGAACCAGUACCGUGAGGGAAAGGCGAAAAGAACCCCGGCGAGGGGAGUGAAAAAGAACCUGAAACCGUGUACGUACAAGCAGUGGGAGCACGCUUAGGCGUGUGACUGCGUACCUUUUGUAUAAUGGGUCAGCGACUUAUAUUCUGUAGCAAGGUUAACCGAAUAGGGGAGCCGAAGGGAAACCGAGUCUUAACUGGGCGUUAAGUUGCAGGGUAUAGACCCGAAACCCGGUGAUCUAGCCAUGGGCAGGUUGAAGGUUGGGUAACACUAACUGGAGGACCGAACCGACUAAUGUUGAAAAAUUAGCGGAUGACUUGUGGCUGGGGGUGAAAGGCCAAUCAAACCGGGAGAUAGCUGGUUCUCCCCGAAAGCUAUUUAGGUAGCGCCUCGUGAAUUCAUCUCCGGGGGUAGAGCACUGUUUCGGCAAGGGGGUCAUCCCGACUUACCAACCCGAUGCAAACUGCGAAUACCGGAGAAUGUUAUCACGGGAGACACACGGCGGGUGCUAACGUCCGUCGUGAAGAGGGAAACAACCCAGACCGCCAGCUAAGGUCCCAAAGUCAUGGUUAAGUGGGAAACGAUGUGGGAAGGCCCAGACAGCCAGGAUGUUGGCUUAGAAGCAGCCAUCAUUUAAAGAAAGCGUAAUAGCUCACUGGUCGAGUCGGCCUGCGCGGAAGAUGUAACGGGGCUAAACCAUGCACCGAAGCUGCGGCAGCGACGCUGAUGCGUUGUUGGGUAGGGGAGCGUUCUGUAAGCCUGUGAAGGUGUGCUGUGAGGCAUGCUGGAGGUAUCAGAAGUGCGAAUGCUGACAUAAGUAACGAUAAAGCGGGUGAAAAGCCCGCUCGCCGGAAGACCAAGGGUUCCUGUCCAACGUUAAUCGGGGCAGGGUGAGUCGACCCCUAAGGCGAGGCCGAAAGGCGUAGUCGAUGGGAAACAGGUUAAUAUUCCUGUACUUGGUGUUACUGCGAAGGGGGGACGGAGAAGGCUAUGUUGGCCGGGCGACGGUUGUCCCGGUUUAAGCGUGUAGGCUGGUUUUCCAGGCAAAUCCGGAAAAUCAAGGCUGAGGCGUGAUGACGAGGCACUACGGUGCUGAAGCAACAAAUGCCCUGCUUCCAGGAAAAGCCUCUAAGCAUCAGGUAACAUCAAAUCGUACCCCAAACCGACACAGGUGGUCAGGUAGAGAAUACCAAGGCGCUUGAGAGAACUCGGGUGAAGGAACUAGGCAAAAUGGUGCCGUAACUUCGGGAGAAGGCACGCUGAUAUGUAGGUGAAGCGACUUGCUCGUGGAGCUGAAAUCAGUCGAAGAUACCAGCUGGCUGCAACUGUUUAUUAAAAACACAGCACUGUGCAAACACGAAAGUGGACGUAUACGGUGUGACGCCUGCCCGGUGCCGGAAGGUUAAUUGAUGGGGUCAGCGCAAGCGAAGCUCUUGAUCGAAGCCCCGGUAAACGGCGGCCGUAACUAUAACGGUCCUAAGGUAGCGAAAUUCCUUGUCGGGUAAGUUCCGACCUGCACGAAUGGCGUAAUGAUGGCCAGGCUGUCUCCACCCGAGACUCAGUGAAAUUGAACUCGCUGUGAAGAUGCAGUGUACCCGCGGCAAGACGGAAAGACCCCGUGAACCUUUACUAUAGCUUGACACUGAACAUUGAGCCUUGAUGUGUAGGAUAGGUGGGAGGCUUUGAAGUGUGGACGCCAGUCUGCAUGGAGCCGGCCUUGAAAUACCACCCUUUAAUGUUUGAUGUUCUAACGUUGACCCGUGAUCCGGGUUGCGGACAGUGUCUGGUGGGUAGUUUGACUGGGGCGGUCUCCUCCUAAAGAGUAACGGAGGAGCACGAAGGUUGGCUAAUCCUGGUCGGACAUCAGGAGGUUAGUGCAAUGGCAUAAGCCAGCUUGACUGCGAGCGUGACGGCGCGAGCAGGUGCGAAAGCAGGUCAUAGUGAUCCGGUGGUUCUGAAUGGAAGGGCCAUCGCUCAACGGAUAAAAGGUACUCCGGGGAUAACAGGCUGAUACCGCCCAAGAGUUCAUAUCGACGGCGGUGUUUGGCACCUCGAUGUCGGCUCAUCACAU
This 2142-nucleotide ribosomal RNA is filed under the name Escherichia coli. RNAcentral's name for it is "partial 23S ribosomal RNA". It matches the Rfam family "Bacterial large subunit ribosomal RNA", at positions 418 to 2545 of the family's 2925-position model. Lineage: Bacteria; Pseudomonadati; Pseudomonadota; Gammaproteobacteria; Enterobacterales; Enterobacteriaceae. The record is from RNAcentral.